Molecule: unclassified non-coding RNA, 229 nt
Filed under: Hevea brasiliensis (rubber tree)
Lineage: Eukaryota; Viridiplantae; Streptophyta; Magnoliopsida; Malpighiales; Euphorbiaceae
Source: RNAcentral
GGGCAAAUGGACCACAAAUCCUAAAACAUACCAGCAUGAUUGAUUCCAUUAAUAUCAAAAUUCCCUGGUCCCACUAGGUAAAAAAGAAAGAAUAUGGACAGAAGUAUGUCUAUAAUUCAAGAAAAUUGACAAGGAAACACACUCUGUCCUGGUAUCAAGUAGAUUCAGAAAGUGGACAGUCUCCUUUGCUUUUCUGUCACAAAAGCUUUAGCCAUCACUACGGUUAAAU